This 462-nucleotide ribosomal RNA is filed under the name uncultured Rhodoferax sp. Its description in RNAcentral is "bacterial SSU rRNA". It matches the Rfam family "Bacterial small subunit ribosomal RNA", at positions 919 to 1382 of the family's 1533-position model. Lineage: Bacteria; Pseudomonadati; Pseudomonadota; Betaproteobacteria; Burkholderiales; Comamonadaceae. The record is from RNAcentral.
ACCCGCACAAGCGGUGGAUGAUGUGGAUUAAUUCGAUGCAACGCGAAAACCUUACCUACCCUUGACAUGUCCGGAAUCCCGAAGAGAUUUGGGAGUGCUCGCAAGAGAACCGGAACACAGGUGCUGCAUGGCUGUCGUCAGCUCGUGUCGUGAGAUGUUGGGUUAAGUCCCGCAACGAGCGCAACCCUUGUCAUUAGUUGCUACAUUCAGUUGGGCACUCUAAUGAGACUGCCGGUGACAAGCCGGAGGAAGGUGGGGAUGACGUCAAGUCCUCAUGGCCCUUAUAGGUGGGGCUACACACGUCAUACAAUGGCUGGUACAAAGGGUUGCCAACCCGCGAGGGGGAGCCAAUCCCAUAAAGCCAGUCGUAGUCCGGAUCGUAGUCUGCAACUCGACUACGUGAAGUCGGAAUCGCUAGUAAUCGUGGAUCAGAAUGUCACGGUGAAUACGUUCCCGGGUCUU